This is a long non-coding RNA of Quercus robur (English oak), 698 nucleotides long. RefSeq lists it as uncharacterized. NCBI's taxonomy places the organism in Eukaryota, Viridiplantae, Streptophyta, Magnoliopsida, Fagales, Fagaceae. The record is from RefSeq and is a predicted model, not a curated record. The transcript is spliced from 2 exons.
UUUAUAAUAGAAAAAAUACCACAAUUUAGCUAACUAAACUCAAAAUUCAUCUACAUCAAUCUAUUUAAAAUUGUGUAAAAAAUAAAAAUGCACAAUUAAUAUAGUGACCGGUGUAAAUUUAGACUAUGAAUAUCGGAGUUAACGGAAAACUUUUAUUUAUUAUUUUAAAUAAACUGGACUAGAUGCAAGGGAGUGUAUUUCAAAGCCCUGCUUCUUCGAGGGCUUUUCACAGGCGCUCUUUUACACCAACGCAGAAAGAGAAUAUGACGAAUGAACAGCACUCAUCAUCGCCGCGGCCAUGGCUUCUCGACGCAGUGCCUUUCGUGGUGGUUCUCCUGAUAGCAGCCCACGUCCUCGCUUUGGUCUACUGGAUUUACAGAUUAGCCACCGAGAAACAGCCUCAGAGGAGAAAGGCACACUGAAAACUAACACUCCAAAGUCUAAUUUCAUUCAGCAAAAUUGGCAAAGGUUUUGGUUAAACCCUAAUUCGUCGAUUGUGAUGCAAGAAAAAAAAUUAUGUAAUUAGUUUUGGUUAAUAGAACUAUUUGUUAAUGUUAAUGUUUUUAAUUGUUAUUGCAAUGUAAUUUACUUCAUUGAUUCGUGUCUUUAUACGGUUUAAGCAAGUUGAUGUGAUAGUAGUGAUACAUUUGAUUUGAGUGUUGUAUCAUAGUUGCUGAGUUUUCAGAGGUUUUGAUUUA